AUUUAAAUAGUUUAAUGAAAACAUUGAUUUGUGGGAUCAAAAAUGUAAUAAUUAUUAAUUA
RNAcentral lists this transfer RNA (61 nucleotides) under Staphylinidae sp. BMNH 1274661. Its description in RNAcentral is "tRNA-His". The record is from RNAcentral. Lineage: Eukaryota; Metazoa; Arthropoda; Insecta; Coleoptera; Staphylinidae.